RNAcentral lists this microRNA (24 nucleotides) under Glycine max (soybean). RNAcentral's name for it is "gma-miR9743". The record is from miRBase by way of RNAcentral. Lineage: Eukaryota; Viridiplantae; Streptophyta; Magnoliopsida; Fabales; Fabaceae.
AGAGAGUGCUUUGAAGAAAAUGCC